This is a long non-coding RNA of Aricia agestis (brown argus), 163 nucleotides long. RefSeq lists it as uncharacterized. The transcript has 4 exons. Lineage: Eukaryota; Metazoa; Arthropoda; Insecta; Lepidoptera; Lycaenidae. The record is from RefSeq and is a predicted model, not a curated record.
GACCGACUCCUUUGUUAUGUUCUACUCGGUCGGACAUAAAAUUACAGGCUUUUGACGUUUAUACACCGAUAUGAGCUUUCUCUUUCACUCAACUUACUGCAUCGUUAGUAAGAAAGAGUAACAUUAUCAACUGUCAAAAUAUAAGCAUCGCUUACUCAAGUAG